GAUGAACGCUGGCGGCGUGCCUAAUACAUGCAAGUCGAGCGAAAAGACGAGGAGCUUGCUCCUCUGACGUUAGCGGCGGACGGGUGAGUAACACGUGGAUAACCUACCUAUAAGACUGGGAUAACUUCGGGAAACCGGAGCUAAUACCGGAUAAUAUAUUGAACCGCAUGGUUCAAUAGUGAAAGACGGUUUUGCUGUCACUUAUAGAUGGAUCCGCGCCGCAUUAGCUAGUUGGUAAGGUAACGGCUUACCAAGGCAACGAUGCGUAGCAGACCUGAGAGGAUGAUCGGCCACACUGGAACUGAGACACGGUCCAGACUCCUACGGGAGGCAGCAGUAGGGAAUAUUCCACAAUGGGCGAAAGCCUGACGGAGCAAUGCCGCGUGGGUGAUGAAGGUCUUCGGAUCGUAAAACACUGUUAUUAGGGAAGAACAAAUGCAUGAGUAACUAUGCCCGUCUUGACGGUACCUAAUCAGAAAGCCACGGCUAACUACGUG
This 497-nucleotide ribosomal RNA is filed under the name uncultured bacterium. RNAcentral describes it as "partial 16S ribosomal RNA". It matches the Rfam family "Bacterial small subunit ribosomal RNA", at positions 28 to 507 of the family's 1533-position model. The record is from RNAcentral.